CAAUCCCAAGUACUACUUCAAAGGUCCUAAAAAGCCAUCCAGGAUUAACAGGAGAAUCAGAAUGACAAAGAGAGAACAAAUAGAACUUUCUGGGAAACAAGGAAUAAGAAAGUGGAGUAGUAAAGAGAUCAGUGUGGUUUUCCCUAGAGCUUCCUGGGCAGAGCACAGAAAAGGCAGGUUGCCUAUGGAGAGCUACAAAUUGAAGGGUUUCUUAAUCAACCCACAGCUGACUUGAUCCUCAGACACAGACAACACUGAAAGCCCAGAAGAAUGCGAAUCUUAAACACGCUACAUCUUGAGAAUUAAGCUCUUACAUAUCUGGAUACUCAAGUUAUUUAUUUUUGUAAGAAAAAAUUUACAAGGCUCCUUUUUAAUGUGAGCCAGUAGAGCAGCCUUAUGUACAUUGAGAAGAUAUAAACCUAGGAGCAGGAUCACUCCAGCUCACUAAAUGAAUUAAGAUCAUCAGACAUGCCCCGGGACCAUUGUGGAAUCUAAUAUAUAACAUCGGGAGAGUUUAUUUUUCCAUGUAUGCUUCUUCCAAUUACUGUAUAUUCUAGCACUGCCACUUCAUGUAACAUUAUGUAAAGAAUUCUCUAUUAAAGUUACAGCAAUAAACUCCCGUACUUCUGGUCCACUUUGCAUGGGAUAAACACCCCACACGUGUUCUUCAUUUCAAGUGUAUUUCAUCUGCGCUUGCUGUCAUUCAGGUUAGAUAACCAAUAUAACAUCACGGAAAGUAAUGUGAUGCAGAAGAUACUAUUAGUAUUAUUAUUUUAUCUGGACUUUUAAUCCAUCUUGCAAGAAUGU
Molecule: long non-coding RNA, 807 nt
Filed under: Microcebus murinus (gray mouse lemur)
Lineage: Eukaryota; Metazoa; Chordata; Mammalia; Primates; Cheirogaleidae
Description: lncRNA (ENSMICG00000048686.1)
Source: RNAcentral